RNAcentral lists this ribosomal RNA (460 nucleotides) under uncultured bacterium. RNAcentral describes it as "partial 16S ribosomal RNA". It matches the Rfam family "Bacterial small subunit ribosomal RNA", at positions 338 to 795 of the family's 1533-position model. The record is from RNAcentral.
CCUACGGGUGGCUGCAGUGAGGAAUAUUGGUCAAUGGGCGCGAGCCUGAACCAGCCAAGUCGCGUGAAGGAUGACUGCCCUACGGGUUGUAAACUUCUUUUGUAAGGGAGUAAAGUGAGGCACGUGUGCCUUUUUGUAAGUACUUUAUGAAUAAGGAUCGGCUAACUCCGUGCCAGCAGCCGCGGUAAUACGGAGGAUCCGAGCGUUAUCCGGAUUUAUUGGGUUUAAAGGGAGCGUAGAUGGGUUGUUAAGUCAGUGGUGAAAGUUUGCGGCUCAACCGUAAAAUUGCAAUUGAUACUGGUAGGCUUGAGUACAGUUGAGGUAGGCGGAAUGCGUGGUGUAGCGGUGAAAUGCUUAGAUAUCACGAAGAACGCCGAUUGCGAAGGCAGCUUACUAAACUGCCACUGACAUUGAUGCUCGAAAGUGUGGGGAUCAAACAGGAUUAGAUACCCCAGUAGUC